This 468-nucleotide ribosomal RNA is filed under the name uncultured bacterium. RNAcentral's name for it is "partial 16S ribosomal RNA". It matches the Rfam family "Bacterial small subunit ribosomal RNA", at positions 28 to 507 of the family's 1533-position model. The record is from RNAcentral.
GACGAACGCUGGCGGCGUGCUUAACACAUGCCAGUCGAACGGAAAGGCCCUGCUUUUGUGGGGUGCUCGAGUGGCGAACGGGUGAGUAACACGUGAGUAACCUGCCCUUGACUUUGGGAUAACUUCAGGAAACUGGGGCUAAUACCGGAUAGGAGCUCCUGCUGCAUGGUGGGGGUUGGAAAGUUUCGGCGGUUGGGGAUGGACUCGCGGCUUAUCAGCUUGUUGGUGGGGUAGUGGCUUACCAAGGCUUUGACGGGUAGCCGGCCUGGGAGGGUGACCGGCCACAUUGGGACUGAGGUACGGCCCAGACUCCUACGGGAGGCAGCAGUGGGGAAUAUUGCACAAUGGGCGGAAGCCUGAUGCAGCAACGCCGCGUGCGGGAUGACGGCCUUCGGGUUGUAAACCGCUUUCGCCUGUGACGAAGCGUGAGUGACGGUAAUGGGUAAAGAAGCACCGGCUAACUACGUG